GACGAACGCUGGCGGCGUGCUUAACACAUGCAAGUCGAACGGAGUGGCCAACGGGUGAGUAACACGUGGGUGAUCUGCCUUGCACUUAGGGAUAAGAUUGGGAAAAUGGGUCUAAUACCGGAUAGUGCAAGAUGAGCUCGCGGCCUAUCAGCUUGUUGGUGGGGUAAUGGACUACCAAGGCGUCGACGGGUAGCCGGCCUGAUAGGGUGUAAGGGCAAAUUGGGACGGCGAUACGGCACAGACGCCUACGGGAGGCAGCAGUGGGGAAUAUUGCACAAUGGGGGGAAGCCUGAUGCAGGGAGGCCGCGUGGGGGAUGAAGGCCUUCGGGUUGUAAACUCCUUUCGACAGGGACGCGGUACCUGUAUAAGAAGCACCGGCUAACUACGUGCCAGCAGCCGCGGUAAUUC
This 408-nucleotide ribosomal RNA is filed under the name uncultured bacterium. Its description in RNAcentral is "partial 16S ribosomal RNA". It matches the Rfam family "Bacterial small subunit ribosomal RNA", at positions 28 to 526 of the family's 1533-position model. The record is from RNAcentral.